RNAcentral lists this long non-coding RNA (377 nucleotides) under Nicotiana benthamiana. RNAcentral describes it as "long non-coding RNA (NBEN_LNC011852)". The record is from RNAcentral. Lineage: Eukaryota; Viridiplantae; Streptophyta; Magnoliopsida; Solanales; Solanaceae.
UUAACUAUUCGAUGUACCCCUUCACUGACAUCAUAAAGGACUGAUUCAGCUGAAACCAAUUCAUCACAGGGAAGAAUUGAGCUCAAACUGCUGUUGUAGGGAUCUGUCUGGAAAUUUUCUAGUGUAGUACAUGUAUCUCCAGCAAAGCUGCAAAAAUCAUUUUCUAUAAUUAAUUAGAAUCCAAAGUAAAUACAGUUUUGUAAUGAAAUAAAUAUUCUACAUCAGCUAAGAAUUGGUUGAGAAUCAGUGCAUGUAUCUGCAGCAAAGCUGCAAAAAACAUUUUCUAUAAUUAAUUAGAAUCCAAAUUAAAUACAGUUUGAUAAUUAAAUAAAUAUAUAUAUCAGCUAAGAAUUGGUUGAGAAUAGUUUUCAUACUUG